RNAcentral lists this non-coding RNA (19 nucleotides) under Mus musculus (house mouse). The record is from RNAcentral. Lineage: Eukaryota; Metazoa; Chordata; Mammalia; Rodentia; Muridae.
AGAGCAGAGAGAUUGGACU